GGCUAGUCCUAUGGUAGUGGGUUAUCAGAACUCAUUACCAUUAGUGUCACUAAAGCUGGUAUACAACCCCACUGCUAAAUUUUACUGGCUUUAA
Molecule: Y RNA, 94 nt
Filed under: Propithecus coquereli (Coquerel's sifaka)
Lineage: Eukaryota; Metazoa; Chordata; Mammalia; Primates; Indriidae
Description: Y RNA (ENSPCOG00000000193.1)
Rfam family: Y RNA
About the family: Y RNAs are components of the Ro ribonucleoprotein particle (Ro RNP), in association with Ro60 and La proteins.
Source: Rfam by way of RNAcentral